Molecule: ribosomal RNA, 208 nt
Filed under: uncultured bacterium
Lineage: Bacteria
Description: partial 16S ribosomal RNA
Rfam family: Bacterial small subunit ribosomal RNA
Source: RNAcentral
CACGCAGGCGGUCUGUCAAGUCGGAUGUGAAACCCCCGGGCUCAACCUGGGAACUGCAUUCGAAACUGGCAGGCUAGAGUCUUGUAGAGGGGGGUAGAAUUCCAGGUGUAGCGGUGAAAUGCGUAGAGAUCUGGAGGAAUACCGGUGGCGAAGGCGGCCCCCUGGACAAAGACUGACGCUCAGGUGCGAAAGCGUGGGGAAGCAAACA